AGUGAACGCUGGCGGCAGGCCUAACACAUGCAAGUCGAGCGGCAGCGCGGGGGCAACCCUGGCGGCGAGCGGCGGACGGGUGAGGAAUUCGUCGGAAUCUGCCUUUUUGUGGGGGAUAACGUAGGGAGACUUACGCUAAUACCGCAUACGUCCUACGGGAGAAAGUGGGGGACCGCAAGGCCUCACGCAGAAAGAUGAGCCGACGACCGAUUAGCUAGUUGGUGGGGUAAAGGCCCACCAAGGCGACGAUCGGUAGCUGGUCUGAGAGGAUGAUCAGCCACACUGGGACUGAGACACGGCCCAGACUCCUACGGGAGGCAGCAGUGGGGAAUAUUGGACAAUGGGCGCAAGCCUGAUCCAGCCAUGCCGCGUGUGUGAAGAAGGCCUUCGGGUUGUAAAGCACUUUUGUCCGGAAAGAAAUCCCUGGAGCUAAUACCUUCGGGGGAUGACGGUACCGGAAGAAUAAGCACCGGCUAACUUCGUG
Molecule: ribosomal RNA, 484 nt
Filed under: uncultured bacterium
Lineage: Bacteria
Description: partial 16S ribosomal RNA
Rfam family: Bacterial small subunit ribosomal RNA
Source: RNAcentral